This 75-nucleotide transfer RNA is filed under the name Candidatus Omnitrophota bacterium. RNAcentral describes it as "tRNA-Arg". It matches the Rfam family "tRNA". Rfam says of the family: Transfer RNA (tRNA) molecules are approximately 80 nucleotides in length. Their secondary structure includes four short double-helical elements and three loops (D, anti-codon, and T loops). Lineage: Bacteria; Pseudomonadati; Candidatus Omnitrophota. The record is from RNAcentral.
GCGCCCGUAGCCUAAUGGAUAGGGCAGCAGCCUCCGGAGCUGCUUGUGCAGGUUCGAGUCCCGCCGGGCGCGCCA